AGCGAACGCUGGCGGCGUGCCUAACACAUGCAAGUCGAACGUGAAAGGGAGCAAUCCCCAGUAAAGUGGCGUACGGGUGAGUAACACGUAGGUAAUCUACCCCAGAAUCUGGAAUAACCGGCCGAAAGGCUGGCUAAUACUGGAUAGAGCGACGGAAUCCGUAAUUGGGUUUUUCGGGAAAGGGAGCCUGUAAAAAGGCCUUCGUUCUGGGAUGAGCCUGCGUCCCAUCAGCUAGUUGGUGAGGUAAAAGCUUACCAAGGCAAUGAUGGGUAGCUGGUCUGAGAGGACGAUCAGCCACACUGGAACUGAAACACGGUCCAGACUCCUACGGGAGGCAGCAGUGGGGAAUCUUGCGCAAUGGACGAAAGUCUGACGCAGCAACGCCGCGGGAGUGAAGAAGGCCUUCGGGUUGUAAAGCUCUGUCGAGUGGGACGAAAAUGCUUGGAGUUCACAGCUCCAGGAACUGACGGUACCACUAAAGGAAGCACCGGCUAACUCCGUG
RNAcentral lists this ribosomal RNA (502 nucleotides) under uncultured bacterium. RNAcentral's name for it is "partial 16S ribosomal RNA". It matches the Rfam family "Bacterial small subunit ribosomal RNA", at positions 29 to 507 of the family's 1533-position model. The record is from RNAcentral.